GCGUGAGCCACCAUGCCUGGCCUAAUUACUGUAGGUUUCUAAUAAGCCUUUAAGUAAAAUAAUGUCAGUCCUUCAAAUUUGUUCUCCUUCAAUAUUGCAUUUCUGUUCUGGUACUUUUACUUGUAUGUUAACUUUAGAAUCAGCUUAUUGAUAUCCACAAAAUAACUUGCUGGAAUUUUUAUUUGGAUUGUUUUGAAUCUAAAAUUCAAAUUAGAAAAAAGUGACAUACUGAAAACAUUGAGUUUUUCUAUCCACUAACAUGAAAUGCCUCUCCAUUUAAUUUUUCUUUAGUUUUUAAAAUCAGAGUUCUGUAAAUUUUCUCACAUAGACUUUGCACACAUUUUUAGAUUUAUAUUAAGUACUUCAUUUUGAGAGAGCAGGUAUUUUCAAUGGUAAUGUGUUUUUAAUUUCAAAUCCCAUUUGUUUAUUAUUGUUAUAUAGGAAAGCAGUUGACUAAUUUUUAUUGUGGUAAUAAAACACAUAACAUUACAUUAUUAAAUGUAUUUUGUUAAUAUUUUUAGUAUAUAGUUCAAUAGUGUUUAUUAUUACAUGGUUGCAUAGCAAAUUGCUACAACUUUUUCAUCUUACAAAACUGAAACUCUAUACCCACUAAAUACUAAUUCCUCUUACACCCUCCAUCACCCAGUUCCCACUCAUGACAAAAACCUUUCCACUUUCUGCCUCUGUGAUCUUUAUUUCUUUCAAUACUUCAUAUGAAUGGAAUCAUUCAGUACUUGACUUUUUGUGACUGGCUUAUUUCACUUAGCAUAACGUUCUGGAGGUUCAUCCAUAUGGUAGUAUGUGACAGAAUUUUUUUCUUUUUUAGGGCUGAAUAACAUAACUUUGUGUGUAUAUAUCAUGUUUCUUCAUCUAUUCAUCUGUCAGUGAACAUUUGGGUUGCUUCUACCUCUUGGCCAUUGUGAAUAAUGCUGAGAUGAACAUGAGUGUGCAAAUAUUUCUGUGAGAUCCUACUUUAAAUUCUUUUGGAUAUAUGACUAGAAGUGGGAUUUCCAUAUCACAUGCUAAUUCCAUUUUCUAAUUUUUUGAGGAAACUUCAUAUUCUUUUCAUAGUACUUGAAUUAAUUUAAAUUCCCACCAACAGUGUGCAAGUGUUUCAAUUUCUCCACGUUUUAACACUUGUAAUUUUCUGUAAUUUUUAUACUGACAAUUUAUUUCUAAAAUUGGUAUUUUCUUAAUUUCUUUUGCUGAUUGGUCUUUGUUAGUGUACAGAAACACUUAAUAUUUCGUCUGUUAAUUUUGUAUCCUGAAACAUUGCUGAAAUUGUUUGUUGUAACAGUUUUUCGUGGAUUUUUUUUAGGUUUUUCUACAUACUAAAUUAUAUCAUCUGCACACAGAUAUAAUUUUACAUUUCCUUGUCCAAUUUGUAUGCUUUUUAUUUAUUUUCCUUUUUCUUUAUUUUUCUUCUCUGCAUAGGAUUGAUAGUUUGCAAUGUUUUUAUCAUGAAUAGUGUGGAUUUUGUGAAAUGGUUUUUCUGUGUCUAUUAAUAUGAUCAUAUGAUUUUUUUUCUUUGGCCUGUUGAUGUGAUGAAUUAAAUGAAUUCGUUUUCAAAUGUUGAAAUUUCCUCGCAUACCUGAGAAAAAUUCCAUUUGGUCAUGGUUUUCAAUUAUGUAUACAUUAUUAGAUUUGAUUUACUAAAAUGUUGUUGACAAUUUUGCAUCUAUGUACGGGAGAUAUUAGUCUCUAAUUUCCUUUUUUUAAGAAUGUCUUCAUCUGAUUUUGGUAUUACGGUGAUCCUCUUCUUAUAGAAUGGGUUAAGAAGUGCUCUCUCUGCUUUUAUCUUCUGAACAAGAUUGCAGAGAAUUAGUAAAAUUUCUUCCCUAAAUGUUUCCUGGAAUGCACCUGUGAAUCCGUAUGAGCCUGGUGAUUUCUGUUUUGAAGGGCAUUUAUUAUUGAUUCUAUUUCAUUAGUAGAUAUAGGCUAUCCAGAGUGUCUACUUCUUUUUGUGUCACUUUUGGUAGAUUGUGUCUUUCAGGGAAUAGGUAGAUGUCAUCUAGGUUAACGAAUGUGUUGACACAGUACAGCUAUUUCAAAUAUUCUUUUAUUAUCUUUUUAAUAUCCAUGAGAUCUUCAGUAAUAUACCCUCUUUCAUUUAUGAUAUUGGUAAUUGCUCCCUUCUCUUUUUAUCUUAGUUAGCCUGGCUAGAGAUUUAUUAAUUUUAUUGAUCUUAAUGAAUCAGACUUUAGUGUCAUUGAUUUUCUCUAUUGAUUUUUUAAUUUUCAUUUUUAUUGAUUUCUGAUCUACAGUUUAUUAUGUCUUUCAUUCUGCAUACUUUAGAUCUAAUUUGUUCUUUUUCUUUCCAGUUUUCUACGGUGUAACCUUAGACUGUUAAUUUAAGAUCAUUCUUCUUUUAUAAAUUCUUCUUUUAUAAAUCUACAAAUUCCCUCUAAGUAUGCUUUUGUUAUUUCCCAUGAAUUUAGUUGUGUUUUCAUUUUGAUUUAAUUCAAAAUAUGUAUUAAUUUGUCCUGAGAUUUCUUCUUUGACUCAUGUGUUAUUUAGAAGUGUGUUGCUUAAUCUCUAAGUAUUUUGGAAUUUUCCAACUAUCAUUUUUAUUGAUUUCUAGUUUAAUUCCAUUGUGAUUUCAGAGUAGGCAUUGAAUAAUUUAUAUUAUUUUAAUUCUGUGAAGCUGUUUCCAUGGUCCAGAAUAUGGUCUAUUUUGAUGAUUAUUUAAUGUGACCUUGAGAAUAAUAUGUAUUCUACUGUGUUAGAUAAAGUAGUCUACAGAUAUCAAUUUUAUCGAGUUGGUUUAUCAUGCUAUUGAGUUCAACCAUGUUGUUACUGAAAGUCUGACUAUGUUACACCUUUUAAAGUUGUCUAUGGUUCUUAGAUACUUUGUUCUUUUUUUCUUCUUUGCUUUUCAAUUUUGGAAGUUCCUACUGACAUCUUCAAGUUCAGAGAUUCCUUCCUCACUCAUGUUCAGUGUACUAAUGCCCAUCAAAGGCUUUCUUUGUUUCUGUGUUUUUUAUCUCUAGCCGUUUUUUAAAAUUCUUUCUUAGAGUUUUCAUUUCUCUUUCUGCACUAUUUAUCUGUUAUCACGUUGUCUACUUUGUACAUUAGAGCCCUUAUUAAUCUUAGUAUUUUUAAAUUGAUGGUCUGAUAAUUCCGACAUCCCUGCCAUUUUUGAGACUGGUUCUGAAUCUUGCUCUUUCUUUAAACUGUGUUUAAAUUGCCUUGCAAUUUUUUUCUGGAUAUCCUGACAUGAAGGAGGGCACAGGGAACUGCAGUAAAUAAGUCUUUAGGGAUGUGGUGGUGAAGUGGAGAGAAGGGGCUGUUUUGUAGUCCUAUAAUUAACUUGCAGUCUUUUUAGUGAGCCUAUGCCCCUGAACCAUAAAAUUCAUCAGUGCUUCUCAGUCCUCCUCCCACUCAAAAGUAGGACCAGAUGGCUGAGGCGGAGGGGGUGGCUAGAGUUGUGUAUUUCCCUUCUCUCAUUUGAAAGGCUAGAACAGGCUGAAUUUGACUAUUUCCUUUCACCCAUGUGAAAGCUAGAGAGGGCUGGAUUUGCUUUAUGUACUUCCUCAGGUCAGCUGGGCUCUGAUAAAAUCGCAAUAGGUUACGCUCUGGUGAAAUAUUUUCUCUUGAGGGCAGGCCUCGUUAAGAAGAAUAGAAUGCUCUGGGGUAUUUAAAAGUGAGUACAUUUUUACCAUGCUGGAAACACCAGGGAAUUUUCUCGCAUCUGCACUGUAAAAACCUGAUAGAGAGCUCUAAGAAGUAAAGCUCACAAAAGUGUCAGGGCCCUCCUAUUACUUGGUUCCAUAGAGUUUUCAACUCUCCAACUUUUCCAAUCUAAGCCUCCAGCAACUCAUCAAUUACAGUUCAGUUUUCCCUACUAUGUCAUUGGUUUCUAAGGAUGUUUUUGAUUAUGGGUUUCUGUCCUGGUAAGUUGUAAUUUUUUGCAUCCACUUGUCUGUCUCUCCAUUUUGGGGUUUAGUGGUUUGCCCUGUGACCUCAUUUCUGUGAUGACUCUAAGAAGAGUUGUUGCUUUUACGGUUUGUUCCGUUUUUUACUUACUGUUAGAACAAAGACUUUCAAAUUUCCUACAUGCUAAACUGAAAACUAGAAGUCCAUAUUGUUAUUUGAAAGGAAAAAAAAAAUUUCAUAUCCAAGUAGGAGAAUAAAACUUUGAAAGCAAUUCUGAAUCCAAUUCUACAGUGUACUAUUGGCUUCUCUCAGUUCAGACUAGAACCUUUUUCAUGAAAUUUUUUAUUUCACUGGUUUUCUUUUCCAUUUCCAUGACCUCCACAAGGCACCUUGUUUUUGCUGGGUUCUAUUACCUGUUAUUGCCUCUUCACUUCUUGAGUGAACAGGGUAGACUUCAGUCGCCUGCUUAAAUAUUAAUUUCUCCAGUCUUUGAGCCAGUUUACAUAUUGAUGCAUCUUGCCCUCUCUACCAUUAUGAAGAUACCUGAAAUUACUGUGAGCUUGCUGAAAAUUUCAGCUUAAAAUAAUUUUUCUUUAGCAAUUGCCUGUUUUUCUGAGUUAGAAUGAACAGCAUGAAUCUUUGAAAUUGAAGAACAUGACAUGCAUACUUUAUAGUGUUUUGGUAAAGCUCUCUAACUCAUCUUCAUUUUGUCUACAUGACAGGCUUUUACCUUGAAAAGAUGUCCACAAACUCUGCUUGUUCACAAAAAUUCAGUAAAAUCUUGACAUCAAGUUUAUUUCUUUCUAUAUACAGAAGAGUAAGUUUCAGAAAAAGAAAAGUUAAAGAAAAGGCACGUAAAGCCGUAAUCUCUUAUCUUUUCUAAGAUGGUGGUAUCAGAAUGCAUUACCCUCCUUCUGAAAAGUCAUGAUAUCCUAAAACUGCAUGAAUACACUUUAGAAAAACGCUGCAGUUCUCGAUAGCUGCUUGCCUUGUGUCUAGAAUGUAACAGUAUGCUGCCUGUUUACCUCAGGCCAAAGUUGUCAUUUUCACUAUCUGGGCCACUACAUUUCCUCUGGCUAGAGGCCUGUCUUGUAUGUACUAGGGACUUCUGUUAAUGCUGGUGUGUGCAGUUACUCUACACUGAAUUGGAUUUUUGUCAUCUAUUUGAGGAUUACAUGCAUGAUAUGCCUAGUCAUUUUUUUCUUCAUUAUGUUACACCAAAUCUGAACUGAAAACCCUCCACAUUGUAAUGUGUGAGGCCCAAUUAUUCAGAUAGCAAACAGCAAUUAUAUAUAGAUGUAGGUAUUGAUAAGGAAAUGUAAAAUUCAGGGAACUUUCAGGCUAGGUCACAAAUUAAUAAAUUCCAGGGAAUUCAAGAUCAAUGAGAGAUUAAUAUUUACAUGAAUAGUAUUGUUUUUUGGAAACAAACAUGUUUCACCUUGAUUUAUGUUGCUAAAAUGUGCCUAUGGACUUGAAGAUUAUACAAUGGCUAAGUUGAGUUAGGUGAAGCACCAUGCAUUUGGCAAAGUGUGCUCAUUAACGUCCUCAUCCUGAAUUGCUUGUAACACUGUCACUCUCUGGAUAAGUAAAUGGAAGCACAGGCAGGCAAGCAAUGGCUAAGAAGCAGGAUGCCCAUGUCAAACUCUCUCCCUCAAAGUAAAGGGGAAGCAAGUGGUUUAAGUAAGGAGUCCAAAUGAAGACAGAUUUACUUAAGUGUAAAAUGUGAAUUCUGAACUAGAUGAACAUAAAGCCCUGUUCAGCUUUGUGAAUCUACGUUUCUAUGAUUAUCUUGAGUUAUUAAAAGUAAAUUAUGGUAGAUCAUAAUUAAUAAAGGGCCAUCUGUAACACGAAAUCCUCCUUUUUAAUUGGGCUGGGUGAGUUGCCCAAGAUAUUUAUUUUAGGGGAGAUAGGAGAUGUGGAAGAAACUGAAAACUGCUCUAUCCCCUCUCCAGGCACAGUUUCUCAAACUUAGCUGCAAAUAAAAAAUAGAAGGCCUGAUUUUAUUCAGUGCUAAAUUAGGGUGUUGAUAUAAGAUUAGGUGACUAGUAAUGCAAAAGUGUGAAUAAAGUAAAAGACCUUCCUAAUUGUAUGAUUUACAAUAUUUAACAAUCAAAUUACCAGCAAGUAAUUUUUCUGGAGGAGAUUAAAAGCUAAUUCUAUUUGCCAUUACUGAAUGAGUGCUGAUACAGGCCAACCACUAUUUUAAUAUUUUACAAGACUUACUUAUUUAAUCUUCAUAACAAUCUGAUAGAAUAGACAUAAUUAUUAUUCCCAUUUUAUAAAUGAGCAAAGUUUUGCCCAGAAAGAUAACAUUACCAAGAUCGCACAAGCAGAAGUGAGAGAGUCAGGUAUUACAAGCAGAUGCAUUGCUUAAAUAUUAGCUCCUCACUUCUGACAGUUGAUCUGAUACCCUUUGGAUGGCCUAGCAUCUGGUGGACCAGGCAUAUCAAUUCAGCGAGUGCGGUUUUCUGCCUAGAUAUUGUCUGUAGUGUAGAGGAGAAGACAAACUUGCCUGGAGGCUUUCUUCUAGAAUCAGUAGCAAUUUCUUAUCCACAAAAAAGAGAGACUACUCAUUCCUGGCCAUGGAGAUGAGAAAGUGUGCAUCUUAGCCUCUACCACUGACAGUAAAAGAUAACCCGAUAUCCAGAAACAUGAGAAAAACAACCUUGAGCAUAUUCCAUCAUAAACAUUUCACUGCCUUUAAUUUGAAACUUUUUAAGCUACUUGAGUAUUGUCAUCACCCUUUCAACCCCACUUCCUCCACCUUAGUGGGAACUACAUAGUCUAGCAUGGCAUAAAAAUCAAGUUUUAAUAGCAGGUAGAAUUGCAGAUUCCAGAUUUGCCCAUCAACUUGCCAGAGCUGCUGAAUAGUUUAUGACUCACACUGAGUUACACAUCUUGGCCACCGCUUUAUAUAUUCUAAUCUUGAAUCUAUUAACAUUCUCUUUUUCUGGACUGGCCUAAAAUGCCUGCCAUCUGAAUUAUAUUUUUAGGUUCAACAGCAAAGUUUUACUCUGUUAAAAAAAUACUUAUUGAGAACCCAUGGCUUGUGUAAAACAAUGCUUAAUGAAAAGGUAUAUAGAGAUAAAUAACUACAUUUAAGUUCUCAGUGAAUUUACAGUACAAUGUCUUAUCUCCACUCUACCACUGUUAACACACAUCCAUUAUUUGGGGACAAUAACAACAGCAGCCACAACACAACAGUAACUGUUAAGUAUGUAUUAAGAAUUUACUAUGAGCUAGAUAUUAUUACAAAUAUUUUGCAAAAUUUAUCUUGAUAAAUUUUCAUAAUAACCAAAUAAAUAUGUUGUAUUACCCUGAUUUUAUAAAUGAGGCAUCAGAAAGAUGUGGCUAUAAGUAAAUAAAAUAAAUUUAAAUAAAUAAAAUUUAAAAUAAUAAAUGAGGAAACUCAGGAACAGAAAAAUUGGAUAAUUUGGCCAAGAUCACCAGCCCAAACUCCUAAACACUGAGGAAAAUAGUAGCAUGGCCAGGGAGAGAGGAGUAUGUUUUCAUAAUCUUAGAAUCACGUAGAAACCAAGAUUCAGUUUUUAAAUAUGAGAACGCUCACUUUGGAAAUUCUAAGAGAGUGGUGUGGAGGGCUAGAGAUAUAGCGUAACCAUGUCUUAGCUAAGUAAAGGGGUUAGUUCAGACUUGAGUAUCAUGAAAGGAAUAAACUGCAAGGUGCACUGAAGACUUGCCUGUGUGGGCAAGUGGAAUGAGCACGUAGCUAGUUUUUUGGACAGUCCAAGGCACCUUGGGAGCAAUUGACAAAGAUUACUUUUCUAUACACACCUAAUGUUUUAGCUUAUUUGUAAUGCUGUCUUUUAACAUUUCUCCUGUACUGCCUCUCGGGACUACAUUUUAAAAUUUAGAAAAUAAAAUAAAUCACUAUUCACAAUGAACAGCCCUAUAAAAUCCACUCUUUGAGUUCACUUUUUCCUCUGAUUGUUCUUGCUGACCUUGGGAUACUCUUACAUGACUAGUUUUGAGUUUGAUGGUUGGGUCCGUAAAUGCACCACGAAGUCAGUUCUUGCACAUUGUACACAUUUUCAAAUAAAAUGUUCAGCUCUGCUUGGCAGUGCUGUUGUUUCUGGUGUGCUUAUCUCCUUCAGCAAGAAACAGGUGAGUUUGCAUUUACCCCUAUGUCAGGAAUUACAUGUGGAUGUUUGAGAUAAAUGGCACCAUAGCUUUGAUCUCCACCUCCUUCCAGUGGCAGACUGAGCAACUGGCUAACCUCUAUCUGCACCCGGUUCCUUACCCUGUGAAUUUCUAACAAACACUAAAGCCUUAUUUUAUAGAGGUUCAUGUGCUCUACUUUGUACAACAUAUGUGGCAAAUAGUUUUUUGUUUUACUAAUAACUUUACUCAACUUAUUAGUUUUAAGUAGAUGGAAAGCAACAUGUCAAUCAUGUGGAAAUAGUCAUGUGAUUUGAUAAGUCAACCAGUCAUGUUGACCUGCUGAAUCAUUUUUUUAGGAUAUUUUAUUAAAUUAUAGUACAAGUGGUUCUCAUUUUUCCACUGUUUUUAAUCAGGUCAAACCCCAAAAUCUUUUAAGAAACAUAAAAAAUAAGUAUACACAUUUAAUUAUCAUUUUAUGUCACCUGAGACCUGCAAUUUUUUAAAUUUCCCAGUAUUCAUUGAAUGUGUCACCAUGGAAUCAGAGAAAAUUAUUAAAUUAAGCAUCUUAUUAGUUACAAAUGUGUCUAGAAUUCACGGCAAAUAUAAUUUUAGGUUUGAAAUCACAGUGAUGCUGAAGACAGCAUUAUUCCUCCUUCACCUUCAUCUGAAAAUAGAUUGCUUCAGGGAGUUUGAAGAAUAAAAUAUGGAAAAAUGUGUUGUGUCAAUUUCCACAAGAUAAGCAAGGAUAUUAAAUGUAGCCUGAUUUGAGUAAUAAAUCUUUUUUGUACUUAACAAAAUGCAUCUUCCUUGUUAGGAUCCUUCAAGUUUUCUUCUGGCCAUUUCCUAAAUCUACUUCUUAUAAUGUAUGAAUUGAGAAUGCUGAAAUCUCCAAAUAGACCAUUAAAAGACAUACAUUGAAAAUAAAUGGCCUUGAAAUAUUUGGAUUAAAACUUAAAUCUCCCAUAGUAAAUUAAAUUAUUCCUCCGAUCUUCACAUUGCUUUCGGUAAUUGAAUCUCAUAGAAUAGAAGUUGAUUGUGGCAAUAUAUGGGCAUUGGAACAAUAUGUAAAAAGCAAUAAAACUAAAAAUUAAUCCACCUUCAUAUUUGGAAGUCUGUAGAAACAGACAAGGAGUUCGCUAAGUCACAAAAAUUAACUCAAAUGAGUCAGAGACAAAUAUUAUGUUCCAAGAAUAAUACCACGAUGCAGAGGAAAAUAUAGAUAGAAACUCUGUCAGAAACAAACUUUUAAAUUCUUGUUAUUUACAGUGUUUCCUGUGAACUAAGAAUCAAAGAUGUAGUGUUUCUAAAUGUUCUCCAUCCCUCCAGAUACCAAUCUUCAGGACUGGGAACAAGAAAUUAGACAGAAAUUGGGAAUUUCUGCAACCAUGUUAUUCUGAAAAUACGCCCAAGAUUUCUCAGAUUCUUUACAAAUUGUUAUGAAUAUCUUUUUUCAAUGUCUAAUAAAUACAAAAUUUUGAGUGUAGUGGUAUUUACAAGGACCUGUAGUGUAGGGUGAAUAUUUAAAUACUGGAAAUCACCAGUAAUCCUUAUUGGGCAGUAUUUGCAUAAUGUAACAUUAGGAUCAUCUAAGCAAGUUAAACGGCUCUAACACAGUAUCACGUGUUUAACUCGCUAUAUUAAGGUCUUAUUUUGUUUCCUAAACUUGCAUUUUUGGUCACCUUAUGUGCAAGAAUUACUCAUUAGCUGAAGAUAGGACCAUAAACAUCUGCUUAUAACAUGGCAAGAGCUACAGGUAAGACUGAGGAAAUCAUGAUCAUUUCUCUCCUGCCAACUCACGAAAAUGGUCACUUUAACCUUAGACCUUGCAUGUCAGCUUUGCUUCCUCCAAACCAGUUAAGUCUCUGUUAAUAUUCAAGCUUUAAUGCUCGCAGAAUAAUCAUUGUCCUGAUUUCUCAACUAAUUUUUUCUUGACAUCAAAAAUUGAGAAAAAAAUACAAAUUUCCUAAAAAAUAGAAAAAUCUACAUGGAGAUAUUAAAAGAUAAUAUACAUUUUUUACAGUAUAACUCUGAUAUUAGGAUUGUUGGGAUUAUGGGUUUAGUUUUUAUUUAAUAUUAUUUGGUAAUAUUAUAUCAACUUUGCAAUAGUAAAGGCUUGCCCUUACUGAGAUACUCUUAAAAAUUGUUUAAAAAACUAUAAGGCUAUUUAUUGAGAUAGUAAAUUAUAAAUAUUGAUAUAUGCUGCAUGAAAUGAGGUUCAGGCAAAAUUUAAGUGAGUGAUUACAUUACCUCAAACAUAGCUCUUUCUUACAUUAAAGAUCUUUCUUACAUUAAAGAUCUCCCAGCCAAUCAAUCCUUGUGGCUCUGUCCUUUUACCCUUUAAGAACUGCCAUAAAGGAUAAGAGGAAGCCUGAAUUUACUGCUUCAACCUGUAGUGAUUUUCUACCCUAAAUCUUAUAUCCUUUUGGGACUCAUAUCUUUAGCCAUUAAAACAACAACAACAACAACAACAAAAACCUCAGAAUGUCCACUUUUUCAGACGAUUUUAACUAACCAAUAACCUACCAAGAUAUUACAAAAUGGCAGGGACCUACAUUAAACUCCUGUGAUGUUUUGCUGCAUGUGCUGCAAUCCCCUAAUGUAGAUGUAAAAUAAAAACUCAGUAAGGAUUAGUCAAUAGAGUCAGAUUGUCUGAUAAAAUAGACUAUAGUUUUCUUGAUAAUUUGCACAGUGUUUUUAAUGAUUUCAUAAAAUUUUGACUUAGAAAAAAAUAAGGGCUCUACUUACUGAAUUAAACAGAAUCUCAAUUUAAUUGGCUGCCCAUCAGAUGACCUCCUUCUUAGUCUCAUCCUUGUUCCUGUUCUAAUAUGAAAUUCCUGCCAGUAUUUUCUUGAACAUGUUCUUUUUUAUCCUCUGAAAUCUGUAUGCCUCCACCUUUAAACUGGAGAUUUCAAAAAAAGUCUUCCUUUCUCUGUUAUCAUAAGUUUUUAAGAAUUGCAAAGUACCCAGAUUGCCUCUAUAUUAAAGUAAAAUAUAAAUUUCAUGUCAUAGAGCCAUACAAAAAUGACAGUCAUUUAGUUGUUUAGUUGCUCUGGUAGCUUACAAUGCGUUGGUUCUCACUGUAUCUCAAUGAGUUACAUAGGCUUCACUUUUAGUAUACAUGAUUGACUGUGGGGCUUAAUAUUGAAUAAAAUAGCUGCUAUAGAUGCUCAAAAUAGGCAUAAUCAAAGGUUUUUACUCUCUGUGGCAUGUGUCAUGUUAGAACGGAAUUUUCACUGGAAGGUAGUAUGCCCUUGCAGAGAAAUCUUAGUCCCGGGUAAAAAGUGGGAAGAAACACCAAUGGAUCUAUAGCACAUCUCUAGCCAUAAGCAUUUCUCUCCUUUUUUUGGAAUCAGGACAUAAAUUGUCAAUUUAUGUUGUCUAAACUAAUGUAUUCUUCUUUCUCAAUCAUGUAUUCACUUAAAAAAUACACAAGGACAUAAUGACCAGUCUUUUUUCACCCAUUAUGUAAAUGUAGACAUAAUUUUUAUAGGGACAACUGGAAGAUCAUCUUUGUGAGAGACAGAGACAGACCUUGGAGCAAAACCUCAAGAUAAUGUUCCUCCAACAGCACCAUAAAACAGCUAUCUAUCUGACCUACUCACAAAAGAGGUCUUUUACUGCAUCCUUUGCCAAACUGUAUACUCUCACCUAGGUUUUUAAAACUUUCCUGAAAUUGAAUAGCUACGAUUAUAUUUACACUAUUUACCUCACAUUGUUGUUAGAAUCGAAUCAUCCAAUAAGUAGGGAGGUGUUUUAAGAAUAAUGCUAUCCAAAUGUAUUAUAACAAAGGAUGCUCUUAAAUGCCACAUUUUCCAAAAGAAUAGAAAAAUUAAAAAACUUUUAAAACACAGGAAAUACAGCAACUUAUAUAAAACCUUCAGGGAUAUGUAGGAAAUGUAAUGAGGAUACAUCUCUAAGAACAAAACAAAGGUAAGCAAAGCAAACUUAAAAAAAAUAGGGUCAGAUCCACAAAAUAUCUAUGAAACGAUCAUCAGAAAAGAACACUGCUAUAUUUUCCAUCUGUCAUCUCAGACUACCUAUGUCUCCAAUCAGACAUUAGGCUCUGUUUUACAGAUGAACCAAAUUCUACAGUUAGAAUGUUUGCUCCAAACACAGCUGGAUUAAGGAAGUGUCACAAAAUAUUAGAUUAUUUUAGAGCCAAGGGAAGUCUUUCCUCUUUACACAUAGUAUGAGAUUGCCCUAGGCUGGGUGCCAUGGCUCAGGCCUGUAAUCCCAGCACUUUGGGAGGCCAAGACAGGUGGAUCACUUGACGUUAGGAGUUAGAGACCAGCCUGGCCAACGUGGCAUAAUCCCAUCUCUAGUAAAAAUACAAAAAAAGAAAAAAUUAGCUGGGUGUGGUGGUGGGAGCCUGUAACCCCAGCUACUUGGGAGGCUGAGGCACAAGAAUCGCUUGAACCCAGGAGGCAGAGAUUGCAGUGAGCUGAAAUCAUGCCACUGCACUCCAGCCUAGGUGACAGGUGAGACUCUGUCUCAAAAAAAAAAAAAAAAAAAAAUUUGCAUACGGCUAAGCAGUUUUCCCAACACCAUUUAUUAAAUAGGGAAUCCUUUUCAUACUGCUUGUUUUUGUCAGGUUUGUCAAAGAUCAGGUGGUUGUAGCUGUGCUAUCUUAUUUCUGAGAUCUCUAUUCUGUUCCAUUGGUUUAUGUGUCUGUUUUGGUACCAUUACCAUGCUAUUUUGUUUACUGUAGACUUGUAGUAUAGUUUAAAGUCAUGUAGCAUGAGGUCUCCAGCUUUGUUCUUUUUACUUAGGAUUGUCUUAGUUAGACAGGCUCUUUUUUGAUUCCAUAUACAAUUUAAAGUAAUUUUUUCUAAUUCUGUGAAUAAUGUCAAUAGUAGUUUAAUGGGAAUAUCAUUUCUUUGGGCAGUAUGGCCAUUUUCAUGAUAUUGAUUUUUCCUAUCCAUGAGCAUGGAAUAUUUUUCCAUUUGUUUGUGCCCUCUCUUAUUUCCUUGAGCAGUGGUUUGUAGUUCUCCUUGAAAAGGUCGUUCACGUCCCUUGUUAGCUGUAUUCUUAGGUAUUUUAUUCUCUUUGUAGCAAUUGUGAAUGAGAGUUCAUUCAUGAUUUGGCUCUCUGCUUGUCUAUCGUUGGUGUAUAGGAAUGCUUGUGAUUUUUGCACAUUGAUUUUUGUAUCCUGAGACUUUGCUCAAUUUGCUUAUCAGCUUGAGGAGCUUUUGGGCUGAGUAGAUGGGGUUUUCUAGAUGUAGGAUCAUGUUGUCUGCAAACAGAGACCAUUUGAUUCCCUAUUUGAAUACUCUUUAUUUAUUUCUCUUGCCUGAUUGCCCUGGCCAGAACUUCCAAUACUAUGUCGAAUAGGAGUGGAGAAAGAGGGUAUCUUUGUCUUGUGCUGGUUUUCAAAGGGAAUGCUUCCAACCUUUGUCCGUUCAGUGUGAUAUUGUCUGUGGGUUUGUCAUAAAUGGGUCUCAUUAUUUUGAGAUAUAUUCCAUCAAUGCCUAGUUUAUUGAGAGUUUUUAAAAUGAAGGGAUAUUGAAUUUCGUCAAAAGCUUUUUCUGCAUCUAUUGAGAUAAUCAUGUGGCUUUUGUCAUUAGUUCUGUUUAUGUGAUGAAUUACGUUUAUUGAUUUACACAUGUUGAACCAGCCUUGAAUCCCAGGGAUGAAGCCAACUUGGAAAAAAAAAAAAAAAGAUUGCUCUUCUGAUUCACUGAAAUUGAAACAGAAAGAAAGAAAAACACAACUUAUUAGUCAAUAAUUUGAACUCCUCCUCUUAGCAGCAUCUCCUGGUCAGCAUUAUAAUAAUUAUUCAAAAGCAGUGAUUCUGAAUAUGCAAAAGCAGUGAUUCUGCAAAUACUCUCAGAAAUUCUCAGAUCAUUUGAAACAUCUACUAUAAGUUCUCAAAAUAAAUGAGAAAAUAUUACUGUAUUAUUUAAACAAAGUCCAUUUCUUUGUUAUAAACCACUGACUACACCCCAGGAAUACUUCAAGGAAGAAAGGACACAAGAAGAUUUCGGGCCUUUGCCCUCAAGGUUGGAGAAAUUAAGAUGUUUUUGAUUCAGGUUUCAACAAAUCAUCACUCUUCUAUGAAUACGCAACUAAGAAACUUCAACAAAAAUUAUAGUGAAAAAUAAACAUUGGUGUCCCAACUAAGGAACAUACAAACAUCAGGCUAGGCUUUCCAUACAACAGAAGAUCUUCAUCUAACUAAGCCAAGGUGAUGCUCUUGUAGGUCUGCAUAAGUCCUAAGAAAUGACUGUCUGUUUUCCUACUGUCUGUGUGAUUGAUUACACUGGAAAAUAGAACAGGUCUCCAGUAAGUAAUUACCAAACAUAUGAGUGACAUUUGAUGUAUAUGGGUUUAUUUGUUUGUUGUGCUUAAAGUCAACAUCCAGAGUAUAAAUAUGAACUAAAUUGUGUGCCAUAUUGUGAGAAAACUCAAAUGAGAAUGUUAAUUUAUAAGGAAGAAACCAUAAAUGUUACUAUUAAUUUUUUUGAAAAACAAAGCAUAGUAUUAUUAAAAUAAGUCAUAUCUCCUAGUACAUUUAAAACGUUUUUCAACAUUCAGCAACUCUUGGCCAUAGUAGUGCCAAUAAAUGUGUGUUGAAUUGAAUGUUUGAUCAAGAGACACUAAACAUGGAUGGAAUACUGUAUUGGGAUUCAAACCAUCUUUUCCUUGAACAAAUAAUACACAAAUAAUUUCCUCUCAGUUCAAUUUCUGUGAACAUUUAUUUGAACCACAA
Molecule: long non-coding RNA, 14704 nt
Filed under: Homo sapiens (human)
Lineage: Eukaryota; Metazoa; Chordata; Mammalia; Primates; Hominidae
Description: HSALNT0180614
Source: RNAcentral